GAUCCUAAUCAGCACUCUGUGUAUAUGCAGUCUUAUCUUCCCUCUAUCAAGACAUCUUUUGAUGUGCCUGCCCUAUGUUGACCUCUUUGUUUUUGUGGAUUUUGUUCUCAUUUGGACUUCAUUUCAUUGGCCAUCAAAGCCUGCUAUUUGUUGGGGCUUUCUGACUUCUGCCUCCUACAUACAAAGGUCAUAACAAGAAGAACAGAUUGUAAUGGAUCUUGUUUCCUUGAACCGAUGAAGCCAAGGGGUGUACUACGAAGUGAGACUGGUGGGUUAUUGAGCAACGUUGAGUUUAAGCUUGAGUUAAAUAUGUUUCCUUGUGUGACGUGGCAGACUGCAGAUGGGACUCACCCGCUCCAGCUGGAUGUAGAACGUCUGGUCCCAGCUCAGCCUGCUGAUGGCUGCCCAGCGCGUCCGGCCGACCACUCUGCCGUCCAGCCUGAGCACGCCACUGAUCUCUGCGCUGCUCCUUUUAGGGGUCGCCACAGCAGAUCAUCUGUCUCCAUCUCACCCUCUCACUGGCAUCCCCAAACCUCUACUUGUCUUCCUUCAUUACAUCAGGUGCCUGGCAGCUCCAUAUUCAACAUCCUUUGUCCAGUUUAUCCUCUGUCCUUCCUCUGCACAUUUCCAAACAAUCUCAGUCCUGCCUCUAACUUUGUCUCCAAACCGCUCAUCCUCAGCAGUCUCUCUGAUGUCAUUAUUUCUAAUCCUGUCUAUCCUGGUCAUUCCCAAUAAAAAACCUCGACAUCUUCACCUCUGCCACCUCCAGCUCUGCUUUGUGUCUUUUUAUCAGUGCCAACA
Oreochromis aureus is the source of this 801-nucleotide long non-coding RNA. The record is from Ensembl. NCBI's taxonomy places the organism in Eukaryota, Metazoa, Chordata, Actinopteri, Cichliformes, Cichlidae.